This is a long non-coding RNA of Protopterus annectens (West African lungfish), 660 nucleotides long. RefSeq lists it as uncharacterized. Lineage: Eukaryota; Metazoa; Chordata; Ceratodontiformes; Protopteridae. The transcript has 2 exons. The record is from RefSeq and is a predicted model, not a curated record.
UUACAGGCCUACUUCUGGAACUGUUAGCUGUCCAAUUUGUAUGGAUGGAUAUACAGAGAUUGUCCAGAGUCGUCGCAUUGUGGUGUCUACAAAAUGUGGUCACAUCUUCUGCAGCCAGUGCCUUCGUGACUCUCUGAAAAAUGCUAACACUUGUCCGACUUGCAGAAAGAGGCUAAAUCACAAACAGUACCAUCCUAUAUAUAUUUGAUUAGAGCCUUUGAUUACAGAUGGCAUAAUAAAAAAGACUGUGUAGAUAGGUUGUAGUUUGCUGUAUUUUUUUUUUUUAUUUUGUACUGGAUGGUUAAAAGAAAAUCUUACAAUUUUGCUUGCAUUAAAGUGUGAGAGUUUCACAAGGAAAAGCUGUUGGAACACACAUGUAUUGGGGAUAGUUUUUAUCUGAAUACAUUACAGCCUGUUAUAUUUUAAUUUCCCAUUUUACAGGUCUGUAAAUGAGACUAUAAAAUGGAAUUUAGAUAUGCAUAUUUUCUGAAUUUUUUAAGAAUGCAAAAUAAUUUAUACACUGUAGUGAAAAGCAUUCUCAUUUUAUGUGAGGUGUUGGAAUAGAAUUGUACAUUGAUUGAUGUCAGAACUUCAGACAACAGAUGCUUUGCAAGUCUUGUAUUUUUCAUUACACUUUAAAUUAAAAAAAAUAACUUAUAA